RNAcentral lists this transfer RNA (67 nucleotides) under Lentilactobacillus hilgardii. It matches the Rfam family "tRNA". From Rfam's summary of the family: Transfer RNA (tRNA) molecules are approximately 80 nucleotides in length. The record is from RNAcentral. RNAcentral also lists the same sequence under 1 other name. Lineage: Bacteria; Bacillati; Bacillota; Bacilli; Lactobacillales; Lactobacillaceae.
GGUAGUGGUGAAGUGGUUAACACAUCGGUUUGUGGAUCCGACACGCGUGGGUUCGAUUCCCACCUAC